GCNGGCGAGUGGCGAACGGGUGAGUAAUACAUCGGAACGUGCCCUGUAGUGGGGGAUAACUAGUCGAAAGAUUAGCUAAUACCGCAUACGACUGAGGGUGAAAGUGGGGGACCGCAAGGCCUCAUGCUAUAGGAGCGGCCGAUGUCUGAUAGCUAGUUGGUGGGGUAAAGGCCCACCAAGGCGACGAUCAGUAGCUGGUCUGAGAGGACGAUCAGCCACACUGGGACUGAGACACGGCCCAGACUCCUACGGGAGGCAGCAGUGGGGAAUUUUGGACAAUGGGCGAAAGCCUGAUCCAGCAAUGCCGCGUGUGUGAAGAAGGCCUUCGGGUUGUAAAGCACUUUUGUCCGGAAAGAAAUGGCUCUGGUUAAUACCUGGGGUCGAUGACGGUACCGGAAGAAUAAGGACCGGCUAACUACGUGCCAGCAGCCGCGGUAAUACGUAGGGUCCAAGCGUUAAUCGGAAUUACUGGGCGUAAAGCGUGCGCAGGCGGUUGUGCAAGACCGAUGUGAAAUCCCCGAGCUUAACUUGGGAAUUGCAUUGGUGACUGCACGGCUAGAGUGUGUCAGAGGGGGGUAGAAUUCCACGUGUAGCAGUGAAAUGCGUAGAGAUGUGGAGGAAUACCGAUGGCGAAGGCAGCCCCCUGGGAUAACACUGACGCUCAUGCACGAAAGCGUGGGGAGCAAACAGGAUUAGAUACCCUGGUAGUCCACGCCCUAAACGAUGUCAACUAGUUGUUGGGGAUUCAUUUCCUUAGUAACGUAGCUAACGCGUGAAGUUGACCGCCUGGGGAGUACGGUCGCAAGAUUAAAACUCAAAGGAAUUGACGGGGACCCGCACAAGCGGUGGAUGAUGUGGAUUAAUUCGAUGCAACGCGAAAAACCUUACCUACCCUUGACAUGCCACUAACGAAGCAGAGAUGCAUUAGGUGCUCGAAAGAGAAAGUGGACA
This 951-nucleotide ribosomal RNA is filed under the name Ralstonia pickettii. Its description in RNAcentral is "bacterial SSU rRNA". It matches the Rfam family "Bacterial small subunit ribosomal RNA", at positions 87 to 1034 of the family's 1533-position model. The record is from RNAcentral. Lineage: Bacteria; Pseudomonadati; Pseudomonadota; Betaproteobacteria; Burkholderiales; Burkholderiaceae.